AUAACACCCAGUGCUCAUCCCAUCCAUGGACCUUGAGACCAACAAGUGGAUUAAUCCAAAUGUCUACAUAUGCAAAGAGUAUCCAUUCAAUGUCCCCCUCCUGAGCGCAAGGCAGGACCCUCCACGAGCAGCCGACUCAGGAGAGGAGCAGGAUAAAGUGACCACGGGAAGAACGUCAAGGUAAGAAGAGCUGGGAAAGCAAUGCCGCGGAGGUGCUGAACUGGUAAAAACGGAACAGUUUCACAGAGAAGAGGCUAUUGAAACAUUCUGAGUAGUCGUGAGAAGCAUUUCCACGUUCGUAUCUUUUUUUCUUUUUUAAACAAGUGAGAGGUUAGUAGCUCUCCCACGAUCAACUGAUCCGGUGCAGUCGAAAGUAUGUAAAACACAAGAGUAACCGCGUUGUCUUGGAACGUCAGCGUCUGCAAGGUGGUCAGGAGGCCACGAAGGCUCCCACAGAAACACAGCCAAGAAAAGACGAGGAAAACACGCACACUGCCUCGCCUCCUGACCCCCCUCAGGCAGCACUGUGCUCCAGCAGCACAUCCGUGUCAGCCCGGCUAAUGACCUAAACGCUCUGAAAUGCAUUUUCCCCGUGGGAAAGCGACAGUCAUUAUACAUGCCUCAUGGGAGUUGUCAGGAGCCCUCCAAGGAUGCCAGGAGUAGCAAGGACAUCCAACUUUGGACCAGUUUUAUUCAGGGCCAUACCUGUAAUUGACAACAUGCCAUCUAGCGAUGAGGGUCAUUACAAAACGUGCACACAGCUCGUGGACUUACAUUCCACCUUGAAGAAUGCAAGGUCAUUUUCAUUCAAGUUAUUGUGAGUUGGUUGGAGACCACAAAUCACUGAAGAAAAUGUUAACUUCCUCAUCAAG
RNAcentral lists this long non-coding RNA (872 nucleotides) under Vulpes vulpes (red fox). Its description in RNAcentral is "lncRNA (ENSVVUG00000007780.1)". The record is from RNAcentral. Lineage: Eukaryota; Metazoa; Chordata; Mammalia; Carnivora; Canidae.